ACGAGUGGCGGACGGGUGAGUAACACGUGGGUAACCUGCCCUUAAGUGGGGGAUAACAUUUGGAAACAGAUGCUAAUACCGCAUAAAUCCAAGAACCGCAUGGUUCUUGGCUGAAAGAUGGCGUAAGCUAUCGCUUUUGGAUGGACCCGCGGCGUAUUAGCUAGUUGGUGAGGUAACGGCUCACCAAGGCAAUGAUACGUAGCCGAACUGAGAGGUUGAUCGGCCACAUUGGGACUGAGACACGGCCCAAACUCCUACGGGAGGCAGCAGUAGGGAAUCUUCCACAAUGGACGCAAGUCUGAUGGAGCAACGCCGCGUGAGUGAAGAAGGCUUUCGGGUCGUAAAACUCUGUUGUUGGAGAAGAAUGGUCGGCAGAGUAACUGUUGUCGGCGUGACGGUAUCCAACCAGAAAGCCACGGCUAACUACGUGCCAGCAGCCGCGGUAAUACGUAGGUGGCAAGCGUUAUCCGGAUUUAUUGGGCGUAAAGCGAGCGCAGGCGGUUUUUUAAGUCUGAUGUGAAAGCCCUCGGCUUAACCGAGGAAGUGCAUCGGAAACUGGGAAACUUGAGUGCAGAAGAGGACAGUGGAACUCCAUGUGUAGCGGUGAGAUGCGUAGAUAUAUGGGAGAACACCAGUGGCGAAGGCGGCUGUCUGGUCUGUAACUGACGCUGAGGCUCGAAAGCAUGGGUAGCGAACAGGAUUAGAUACCCUGGUAGUCCAUGCCGUAAACGAUGAAUGCUAGGUGUUGGAGGGUUUCCGCCCUUCAGUGCCGCAGCUAACGCAUUAAGCAUUCCGCCUGGGGAGUACGACCGCAAGGUUGAAACUCAAAGGAAUUGACGGGGGCCCGCACAAGCGGUGGAGCAUGUGGUUUAAUUCGAAGCAACGCGAAGAACCUUACCAGGUCUUGACAUCUUUUGAUCACCUGAGAGAUCAGGUUUCCCCUUCGGGGGCAAAAUGACAGGUGGUGCAUGGUUGUCGUCAGCUCGUGUCGUGAGAUGUUGGGUUAAGUCCCGCAACGAGCGCAACCCUUAUGACUAGUUGCCAGCAUUUAGUUGGGCACUCUAGUAAGACUGCCGGUGACAAACCGGAGGAAGGUGGGGAUGACGUCAAAUCAUCAUGCCCCUUAUGACCUGGGCUACACACGUGCUACAAUGGAUGGUACAACGAGUUGCGAGACCGCGAGGUCAAGCUAAUCUCUUAAAGCCAUUCUCAGUUCGGACUGUAGGCUGCAACUCGCCUACACGAAGUCGGAAUCGCUAGUAAUCGCGGAUCAGCACGCCGCGGUGAAUACGUUCCCGGGCCUUGUACACACCGCCCGUCACACCAUGAGAGUUUGUAACACCCGAAGCCGGUGGCGUAACCCUUUUAGGGAGCGAGCCGUCUAAGGUGGGACAAAUGAUUAGGGUGAAGUCGUAACAAGGUAGCCGUAGGAGAACCUGCGGCUGGAUCACCUCCUUUCU
This 1460-nucleotide ribosomal RNA is filed under the name Lacticaseibacillus rhamnosus. RNAcentral describes it as "Lactobacillus rhamnosus 16S ribosomal RNA". It matches the Rfam family "Bacterial small subunit ribosomal RNA". Lineage: Bacteria; Bacillati; Bacillota; Bacilli; Lactobacillales; Lactobacillaceae. The record is from RNAcentral.